UACGGAGGGUGCAAGCGUUAUCCGGAUUCACUGGGUUUAAAGGGAGCGUAGGUGGCUUUGUAAGUCAGUGGUGGAAUCUUAGAGCUCAACUCUAAAACUGCCAUUGAUACUGCUUAGCUUGAAUCACGUCGAGGUGGAUGGAAUAUUACAUGUAGCGGUGAAAUGCUUAGAUAUGUAAUAGAACACCGAUUGCGAAGGCAGUUCACUAGGCGUGGAUUGACACUGAGGCUCGAAAGCGUGGGGAUCAAACAGG
RNAcentral lists this ribosomal RNA (253 nucleotides) under uncultured bacterium. Its description in RNAcentral is "partial 16S ribosomal RNA". It matches the Rfam family "Bacterial small subunit ribosomal RNA", at positions 524 to 776 of the family's 1533-position model. The record is from RNAcentral.